RNAcentral lists this microRNA precursor (59 nucleotides) under Ascaris suum (pig roundworm). RNAcentral describes it as "Asu-Mir-190_pre stem-loop". It matches the Rfam family "mir-50 microRNA precursor family", at positions 8 to 67 of the family's 75-position model. The record is from RNAcentral. Lineage: Eukaryota; Metazoa; Nematoda; Chromadorea; Rhabditida; Ascarididae.
UGAUAUGUCUGGUAUUCUUGGGUUGGGUCUUCGUCAACCAGUAUCUCAGACGUAUCAUC